UGGGGGGAGCCGUCUAAGGUGAGGCUCGUGAUUGGGACUAAGUCGUAACAAGGUAGCCGUACCGGAAGGUGCGGCUGGAUCACCUCCUUUCUACGGAG
RNAcentral lists this ribosomal RNA (98 nucleotides) under Bifidobacterium jacchi. RNAcentral describes it as "partial 16S ribosomal RNA". It matches the Rfam family "Bacterial small subunit ribosomal RNA", at positions 1444 to 1533 of the family's 1533-position model. Lineage: Bacteria; Bacillati; Actinomycetota; Actinomycetes; Bifidobacteriales; Bifidobacteriaceae. The record is from RNAcentral.